GACGAACGCUGGCGGCGUGCUUAACACAUGCAAGUCGAACGGAAAGGCCCUGCUUUUGUGGGGUGCUCGAGUGGCGAACGGGUGAGUAACACGUGAGUAACCUGCCCUUGUCUUUGGGAUAACUUCAGGAAACUGGGGCUAAUACCGGAUAGGAGCUCCUGCUGCAUGGUGGGGGUUGGAAAGUUUCGGCGGUUGGGGAUGGACUCGCGGCUUAUCAGCUUGUUGGUGGGGUAGUGGCUUACCAAGGCUUUGACGGGUAGCCGGCCUGAGAGGGUGACCGGCCACAUUGGGACUGAGAUACGGCCCAGACGCCUACGGGAGGCAGCAGGGGGGAAUAUUGCACAGUGGGCGGGAGCCUGAUGCAGCAACGCCGCGUGCGGGAUGACGGCCUUCGGGUUGUAAACCGCUUUCGCCUGUGACGAAGCGUGAGUGACGGUAAUGGGUAAAGAAGCACCGGCUAACUACGUG
Molecule: ribosomal RNA, 468 nt
Filed under: uncultured bacterium
Lineage: Bacteria
Description: partial 16S ribosomal RNA
Rfam family: Bacterial small subunit ribosomal RNA
Source: RNAcentral